AUUGAACGCUGGCGGCAGGCCUAACACAUGCAAGUCGGACGGUAGCACAGAGGAGCUUGCUCCUUGGGUGACGAGUGGCGGACGGGUGAGUAAUGUCUGGGGAUCUGCCCGAUAGAGGGGGAUAACCACUGGAAACGGUGGCUAAUACCGCAUAACGUCGCAAGACCAAAGAGGGGGACCUUCGGGCCUCUCACUAUCGGAUGAACCCAGAUGGGAUUAGCUAGUAGGCGGGGUAAUGGCCCACCUAGGCGACGAUCCCUAGCUGGUCUGAGAGGAUGACCAGCCACACUGGAACUGAGACACGGUCCAGACUCCUACGGGAGGCAGCAGUGGGGAAUAUUGCACAAUGGGCGCAAGCCUGAUGCAGCCAUGCCGCGUGUAUGAAGAAGGCCUUCGGGUUGUAAAGUACUUUCAGCGGGGAGGAAGGCGACGGGGUUAAUAACCGCGUCGAUUGACGUUACCCGCAGAAGAAGCACCGGCUAACUCCGUGCCAGCAGCCGCGGUAAUACGGAGGGUGCAAGCGUUAAUCGGAAUUACUGGGCGUAAAGCGCACGCAGGCAGUCUGUUAAGUCAGAUGUGAAAUCCCCGGGGCUUAACCUGGGAACUGCAUUUGAAACUGGCAGGCUUGAG
This 630-nucleotide ribosomal RNA is filed under the name uncultured bacterium. Its description in RNAcentral is "bacterial SSU rRNA". It matches the Rfam family "Bacterial small subunit ribosomal RNA", at positions 28 to 646 of the family's 1533-position model. The record is from RNAcentral.